AUUGAACGCUGGCGGUAUGCUUAACACAUGCAAGUCGAACGGCAGCAUGGAGGAACUUGUUUCUCUGAUGGCGAGUGGCGGACGGGUGAGUAAUACAUAGGAAUCUGCCUUAUAGUUUGGGAUAACUACUCGAAAGAGUGGCUAAUACCGGAUGUGGACUACGGUUUAAAGCAGGGGAUCUUCGGACCUUGCGCUAUAAGAUGAGCCUAUGCAAGAUUAGCUAGUUGGUGGGGUAAAGGCUCACCAAGGCAACGAUCUUUAGCUGGUCUGAGAGGAUGAUCAGCCACACUGGGACUGAGACACGGCCCAGACUCCUACGGGAGGCAGCAGUGGGGAAUAUUGGACAAUGGGCGGAAGCCUGAUCCGGCAAUACCGCGUGUGUGAAGAAGGCCUUCGGGUUGUAAG
Molecule: ribosomal RNA, 405 nt
Filed under: uncultured Lysobacteraceae bacterium
Lineage: Bacteria; Pseudomonadati; Pseudomonadota; Gammaproteobacteria; Lysobacterales; Lysobacteraceae
Description: bacterial SSU rRNA
Rfam family: Bacterial small subunit ribosomal RNA
Source: RNAcentral